RNAcentral lists this ribosomal RNA (474 nucleotides) under uncultured bacterium. RNAcentral describes it as "partial 16S ribosomal RNA". It matches the Rfam family "Bacterial small subunit ribosomal RNA", at positions 28 to 507 of the family's 1533-position model. The record is from RNAcentral.
GACGAACGCUGGCGGCGUGCUUAACACAUGCAAGUCGAGCGGUAAGGCUCCUUCGGGAGUACACGAGCGGCGAACGGGUGAGUAACACGUGAGUAAUCUGCCCUUCACUUCGGGAUAACCACCGGAAACGGUGGCUAAUACCGAAUACGACCAGUCUUCGCAUGAGGUGCUGGUGGAAAGUCUUUUCGGUGAAGGAUGUGCUCGCGGCCUAUCAGCUUGUUGGUGGGGUAAUGGCCUACCAAGGCUUCGACGGGUAGCCGGCCUGAGAGGGUGACCGGCCACACUGGGACUGAGACACGGCCCAGACUCCGACGGGAGGCAGCAGUGGGGAAUAUUGGACAAUGGGCGAAAGCCUGAUCCAGCAACGCCGCGUGAGGGAUGACGGCCUUCGGGUUGUAAACCUCUUUCAGUACCGACGAAGCGCCCUGUCGGGUGGUGACGGUAGGUACAGAAGAAGGACCGGCCAACUACGUG